AUACGGAGGGUGCAAGCGUUACUCGGAAUCACUGGGCGUAAAGCGCGCGCAGGCGGCCAUUUAAGAUGGAUGUGAAAGCCUACGGCUCAACCGUAGAACUGCAUCCAAAACUAUUUGGCUAGAGUGUGAGAGAGGAAGAUGGAAUUAGUUGUGUAGGGGUAAAAUCCGUAGAGAUAACUAGGAAUACCAAAAGCGAAGGCAAUCUUCUGGAACAUUACUGACGCUGAGGCGCGAAAGCGUGGGGAGCAAACAGAAUUAGAAACCCCAGUAGUCC
RNAcentral lists this ribosomal RNA (274 nucleotides) under uncultured bacterium. Its description in RNAcentral is "partial 16S ribosomal RNA". It matches the Rfam family "Bacterial small subunit ribosomal RNA", at positions 523 to 796 of the family's 1533-position model. The record is from RNAcentral.